GACGAACGCUGGCGGCGUGCCUAAUACAUGCAAGUAGAACGCACAGUUUAUACCGUAGCUUGCUACACCAUAGACUGUGAGUUGCGAACGGGUGAGUAACGCGUAGGUAACCUGCCUGGUAGCGGGGGAUAACUAUUGGAAACGAUAGCUAAUACCGCAUAAUAUUAAUUAUUGCAUGAUAAUUAAUUGAAAGGUGCAAUUGCACCACUACCAGAUGGACCUGCGUUGUAUUAGCUAGUAGGUGAGGUAACGGCUCACCUAGGCGACGAUACAUAGCCGACCUGAGAGGGUGAUCGGCCACACUGGGACUGAGACACGGCCCAGACUCCUACGGGAGGCAGCAGUAGGGAAGCUUCGGCAAUGGACGAAAGUCUGACCGAGCAACGCCGCGUGAGUGAAGAAGGUUUUCGGAUCGUAAAGCUCUGUUGUAAGAGAAGAACGGGUGUGAGAGUGGAAAGUUCACACUGUGACGGUAGCUUACCAGAAAGGGACGGCUAACUACGUG
RNAcentral lists this ribosomal RNA (505 nucleotides) under uncultured bacterium. RNAcentral describes it as "partial 16S ribosomal RNA". It matches the Rfam family "Bacterial small subunit ribosomal RNA", at positions 28 to 507 of the family's 1533-position model. The record is from RNAcentral.